RNAcentral lists this ribosomal RNA (671 nucleotides) under uncultured Campylobacterota bacterium. Its description in RNAcentral is "bacterial SSU rRNA". It matches the Rfam family "Bacterial small subunit ribosomal RNA", at positions 232 to 920 of the family's 1533-position model. Lineage: Bacteria; Pseudomonadati; Campylobacterota. The record is from RNAcentral.
UGUACGGUAUCAGAUAGUUGGUGAGGUAAUGGCUCACCAAGUCAAUGACGCCUAACUGGUUUGAGAGGAUGAUCAGUCACACUGGAACUGAGACACGGUCCAGACUCCUACGGGAGGCAGCAGUGGGGAAUAUUGCACAGUGGAGGAAACUCUGAUGCAGCCACGCCGCGUGGAGGAUGACACUUUUCGGGGCGUAAACUCCUUUUAUAUGAGAAGAUAAUGACGGUAUCAUAUGAAUAAGCACCGGCUAACUCCGUGCCGGCAGCCGCGGUAAUACGNGGGGUGCAAGCGUUACUCGGAAUCACUGGGCGUAAAGAGCAGAUAGGCGGAUAGAUAAGUUGGAAGUGAAAUCCUAUGGCUUAACCAUAGAACUGCUUCCAAAACUGUCUAUCUAGAAUAUGGGAGAGGUAGAUGGAAUUUCUGGUGUAGGGGUAAAAUGCGUAGAGAUCAGAAGGAAUACCGAUUGCGAAGGCGAUCUACUGGAACAUUAUUGACGCUCAGAUGCGAAAGCGUGGGGAGCAAACAGGAUUAGAUACCCUGGUAGUCCACGCCCUAAACGAUGCACACUAGUUGUUGCCUUGCUAGACAAGGCAGUAAUGCAGUUAACACAGUAAGUGUGCCGCCUGGGGAGUACGGUCGCAAGAUUAAAACUCAAAGGAAUAGACGGGGAC